AUCACUUCUCGGCCCUUUGGCUAAGAUCAAGUGUAGUGUCUGUUCUUACCAGUUUAAUAUCUGAUACGUCCUUAUCCACCAUCCCAC
The sequence is a small nuclear RNA, 87 nucleotides long. Its record names the gene U2. It matches the Rfam family "U2 spliceosomal RNA". Rfam says of the family: U2 is a small nuclear RNA (snRNA) component of the spliceosome (involved in pre-mRNA splicing). Complementary binding between U2 snRNA (in an area lying towards the 5' end but 3' to hairpin I) and the branchpoint sequence (BPS) of the intron results the bulging out of an unpaired adenosine, on the BPS, which initiates a nucleophilic attack at the intronic 5' splice site, thus starting the first of two transesterification reactions that mediate splicing. The record is from Ensembl.